UGGGGAAUAUUGCACAAUGGGCGCAAGCCUGAUGCAGCCAUGCCGCGUGUAUGAAGAAGGCCUUCGGGUUGUAAAGUACUUUCAGUCGGGAGGAAGGUGUCAAGGUUAAUAACCUUGGCAAUUGACGUUACCGACAGAAGAAGCACCGGCUAACUCCGUGCCAGCAGCCGCGGUAAUACGGAGGGUGCAAGCGUUAAUCGGAAUUACUGGGCGUAAAGCGCACGCAGGCGGUUGAUUGAGUCAGAUGUGAAAUCCCCGGGCUUAACCCGGGAAUUGCAUCUGAUACUGGCAAGCUUGAGUCUCGUAGAGGGGGGUAGAAUUCCAGGUGUAGCGGUGAAAUGCGUGGAGAUCUGGAGGAAUACCGGUGGCGAAGGCGGCCCCCUGGACGAAGACUGACGCUCAGGUGCGAAAGCGUGGGGAGCAAACAGG
RNAcentral lists this ribosomal RNA (429 nucleotides) under Chloroflexota bacterium. RNAcentral's name for it is "Chloroflexi bacterium partial 16S ribosomal RNA". It matches the Rfam family "Bacterial small subunit ribosomal RNA", at positions 355 to 776 of the family's 1533-position model. Lineage: Bacteria; Bacillati; Chloroflexota. The record is from RNAcentral.